Small nuclear RNA from Suncus etruscus (white-toothed pygmy shrew), 163 nucleotides. RefSeq annotates it as U1 spliceosomal RNA. The transcript has a single exon. The record is from RefSeq and is a predicted model, not a curated record. NCBI's taxonomy places the organism in Eukaryota, Metazoa, Chordata, Mammalia, Eulipotyphla, Soricidae.
AUACUUACCUGGCAGGGGAGAACUAUGAUCAUGAAGGUGGUUUCUCCAGGGCGGGGCUCAUCCAUUGCACUUCGAGAGUGCUGACCCCUACAAUUUCCCCAAAUGUGGGAAACUCAACUGCCUAGUUGGUGGUGGUGAGGGAUUGUGUUUGUACUCUCCCCUG